UGGUCAAGUUAUUAAGGGUGCAGGGCGGAUGCCUUGGCACUAGGAGCCGAUGAAGGACGUGAUAAGCUGCGAUAAGCUUCGGGGAGUUGCACGUAAACUUUGAUCCGAAGAUUUCCGAAUGAGGAAACUCACUUAGAGUAAUGUCUAAGUAUCAUUAAGUGAAUACAUAGCUUAAUGAGGGGAACUCAGGGAACUGAAACAUCUAAGUACCUGAAGGAAGAGAAAGAAAUUCGAUUCCGUAAGUAGCGGCGAGCGAACGCGGAUUAGCCCAAACCAAUAAAGUUUUCUUUAUUGGGGUUGCGGACAUAUCAUAACGAAGAGGUAUCGUAAUUGAAGAGGUUUGGAAAGACCCACCACAGAAGGUAAUAGUCCUGUAUGUUAAACGAGAAGACUUUAGAUAUGAUCCAGAGUACCACGGGACACGUGAAACCCUGUGGGAAGCAGGAGGGACCACCCUCCAAGGCUAAAUACUACCUAGUGACCGAUAGCGUAUAGUACCGUGAGGGAAAGGUGAAAAGA
Molecule: ribosomal RNA, 519 nt
Filed under: Clostridioides difficile
Lineage: Bacteria; Bacillati; Bacillota; Clostridia; Peptostreptococcales; Peptostreptococcaceae
Description: partial 23S ribosomal RNA
Rfam family: Bacterial large subunit ribosomal RNA
Source: RNAcentral